Non-coding RNA from Capsicum annuum, 77 nucleotides. The record is from Rfam. Lineage: Eukaryota; Viridiplantae; Streptophyta; Magnoliopsida; Solanales; Solanaceae.
UUGAGCCGUAUGCGGGGGAACUCGCACGUGCGGUUCUUAGGGGGGGAAGAGCUAGUAGGAGCCAUCCCAUCCGGGAU